Molecule: unclassified non-coding RNA, 192 nt
Filed under: Glomeraceae sp.
Lineage: Eukaryota; Fungi; Glomeromycota; Glomeromycetes; Glomerales; Glomeraceae
Description: partial contains 5.8S ribosomal RNA and internal transcribed spacer 2
Rfam family: 5.8S ribosomal RNA (bases 1-71)
Source: RNAcentral
GUGAAUCAUCAAAUUUUUGAACGCAAAUUGCACUCUCUGGUAUUCCGGAGAGUAUGCCUGUUUGAGGGUCAGUUUAAAUAAAAAUCGGUGUGGUUGCUGCCUUUCGUGGUGACGCACCGGAUUUGGGUCGUCUUUCCUUCGGUUAGGGAACCCAAAGUUUGGCAUGAUUGUUUUCGAACGUAGUUAAAUGAU